Molecule: ribosomal RNA, 212 nt
Filed under: uncultured bacterium
Lineage: Bacteria
Description: partial 16S ribosomal RNA
Rfam family: Bacterial small subunit ribosomal RNA
Source: RNAcentral
CAGUUCGGAUUNAAGGCUGAAAUUCGCCUUCCAUGAAGCCGGAAUUGCUAGUAAUGGCAGGUCAGCAUACUGCCGUGAAUACGUUCCCGGGCCCUUGUACACACCGCCCGUCACACCAUGAGAGUUGGGAAUACCCGAAGCCUGUGAGCUAACGAAAGAGGCAGCAGUCGAAGGUAGAAUCAAUGAUUGGGGUGAAGUCGUAACAAGGUACC